UUCGUUUCUUGCUGUGUGCCUCUUUCAAGAUGUUAGAGUAUAUUGGAUUUCCCUCACUAUGUAACCCCUUCCUUCCUUUCUUUAUCCUCAGCUACUUUUUCUCCUUCUCUCCAUUUAUGCCCAAGCUUUUCCCUCUGUGGAAGGGACAUUAUUUUUGGCCACCGUGCUCAUCCAGAUUGCAGGCAGUAGAGCUAGUCCAGUAAGCACCUCCCCCUGAGUCCACUGCCAUUCAGAUAAAGUAAGGUUACCCAGGUGUGGAGUUAGUGGGUUAUUUUUAGCACCAGUCAAUAUAGCUGCUUUCACUGUGAACCCCGAUUUUGCCAGAGGGUGUGGAGGCACAACACGCCCCCUCAGGCCCUUAGGAAUUCCAACAAAGUUUAAAAACAGUUACAGUUUAUUGCCUAGGAAUCAUCCCGGCGUCCAGUACUUGGAGUUUCAGCCCUGGUCCUGACCACUGCAUCAGAUGUAGAAAUGGAGGUUCUGAGAAGUUAAGUAACUUGCUCAAGGUCACACAGCUAGCAAGCAGUGGGGCCACAUUCGAGCCCAAACAAGGCUGACUGCAAAUGAACUCAACUAUGCUGCCCCACUGCCUCCUGCUCUGCUUCCCAGGCACAUAGCGGCCACCUCUGUGACUUAGCCUGCCAUACUCCUGGACUGCAGCUGGCCACGACGCGGUCAAGAUCUGUUUGGGGUCUGCCUCCUCUGCUGCCUCGAGCCUCUCCUUGGGACCGGAGCAGCCCCAGCUCUGAACACAGGGCUCUGGAUGUUUGUUUGGGAACCACGUUCAAGUUGCACUCGGCCUGAGGUUAUCUCCAGGCCUUACCCUCUCCAUUCAUUUCUGCCUCGAAUACUCCCUGCAGCCAUGAGCAUUGGGCAGAGCAGGGGAUGUGAGGUUCAGAGAGAUAAGUCACUUGCCCAAGGAUACACAGGGCAGAAUAGGGAGGAAACCCCUGCCCUUCCGACAACCUCAGGUCUGGUCCUCUGGCUCCCCACACCAAGGAGCUCCAGGAGGGAGAUGGGACUUGCCUGGGGCUGUGGGAGGGGACCAUGACCCUGCGUGGUGUGUCUGCGGGGUAUAGGCCUGUGCUGGCCUCCACAAAUGCUGCCGCAGCACCACACCUGCUGCAGUAACAGCCACGUACAUCGGAAAACCGCUCCAUGAGCCGAGUCCCAGAUGACAAGGAGGGCUGUGAGGGACAUCUUGGGAGACCUGUGGCCCUCUCUGGAAAGAUCUAUGUCCAGCCAGGGGUGGUAGCUCAUGCCCUGUAAUCGCACCACUUUGGGAGGUCAAGGCAGGGGGAUCGCUUGAGCUCAGAAGUUUGAGACUAGCCUGGGCAAUACAGCAACACCCUGUCUCUACAAAAAACUUAAAAAAUUAGCCAGUGUGGUGGCGUGUGCCUGUAGUCCCAGCUACCUGGGAGGCUGAGGUGGGAGGAUUGUUUGAGCCCAGGAGAUUGAGACUACAGUGAGCUAUGAUGGCGCCACUGCCUUCUAGCCUGGGCAACAGAACGAGACCCUGUCUCAACAGCAACAACAACAACAACAACAACUUAUGUCCAGAAACGAAUGUCCUUGCUCCAUAUCCUCUCCACCUGGUAAGCGGUGUCUAGCCCACACUUCCUGCAUCCUCUGCAUGCCAUAAUGAGAAGGUGGGUGGUUUAUGGCAGAGGCGAGAAAAUCCAGCAGAUCCCGUCAGCUUGGAGGGCCCACUGUCAGCCCCUCUACCUGCUAAGGCCGGAGGGGUGGGUCCAUGGUUCUUUAGACCACAGACUAAAACAGCAAAACAUGCUGGGUGGCUCCAGGUGUACCCCUUACCGCCUCACUCACUUUGGCCAUGGGCAUCUGAGCUGUUGUUUGUUUGUUUGUUUGUUUGUUUUAAAGAGCCAGGGACCAAGAAAGGGUUAAGCAGCUCCCAAUCUGACUUAUGAGACUAGAAGCUCUUGCUCCCAGCUGGCCACCCACAGGCCUCUGUCAUCUGGCCAGUGCUGGGCUGGGAGGUCUCUGGGUCUCCGCACCCAUCUGGCCACACUGUCCUAGCACCAUCGUCUCUCAUCUGGCAGCUGGGACGGCCUCUCACUGGUCUUGCCCUAUCUCUGCAGCCUACAGGAGCUCUCUGUCCUCAGUUGCUGCUUACCCCCUAAAAUCCUUUUAAGUGGUUUUGUACUGCUCCCAUUAAUAGGAUGAACCAAAGCUUCUUAACUGGCCCCGUGGUCUGCCCGAUCUGACCCCCUUCCUGCCCACCCAGGCCACGCUGUUUCUCCUCAAAUGUGCCAGUCUCUGUGGGCCCUGCAGGCCUUGGCGCAUCCUCUCGGCUUGAAAUACUUUCCUAUCUCCCUGCCCAUUCACCCUCCCCAGCCUGUGGCUGUAGACCAACAGAUCUUGGUCCUCUUUUUCAUUGGGCCCGCUUGGAAACUGGUUGUCCCCCAAUGUCUGGGGCAGGCAAUAGCAGUCAAUCACAGGUGGCAUGUGAAAUGAAACACAUCUGCCACUCAUGCACAAGUUCAGAUCCCAAGGUCCCUCUCAGCUCUCCCCUUCUGCUUUCUAAGACUGUUCCAUCCUCAAUUUGCCCUUCUGUAGAACGGGGAGAAAGAGAUCCCUGCCUCCUCUGUCAUCCCAAGGGGCUGAGAGUGUGAAUCAAGGUGGCUGUUUUCACCUGGGUAUCUGUUUCCUUGGUGUCUGUCCUGCCUCUUGCCCCAGAAUAUCCCCUUCUACCCGUGGACUUCCACUCUGACCCCUGAUAGCUCCCAAUAGCUAGCACAGUGCACCCAACUGCAGGUAUUAGGAUGUUUAAAGUGUCCAUGUAGAUGUGGCCUCAUGUGCUGCACCCUCUUGGCUCUGAGUUACAUGUCCUGCUGCAAGUUUCUGAAGCAGGAAACGGUAUGUGGCAGUGGAGGCCAUUGGGCUUGCUGGGCGUGGGGCUUUCCUAGGUGACAUACAGAGGCACCACUCCUGCUUGUCUCGGGAAGGGGGUGUUCUUUACAGGGGGGUUCAUCUCAGAAUGAUUCAGUGGCAGUUGGUAGUUGCAUGGGUCAAAAAUGAGCACAGGACCCAGAGUUGGGAAACCUGGGUAUUUCCGAGUUCCAGUUCUGUACCUGGAAUCCGACCUGGGAGUAUCUGGACACACCUUGCCCCUCUCUGCCCUGAGUGUCCCUGUCUACACAGCGAAAGGGAACAUAAGUCAGUAAUCAGUGUCUUCUGGUUCUCCAACUGUUGGAGAAAAAAUCAGAAAUCCAGAUUUCGGUGUGAAAUUUCCAGACUUUUGGAAACAACAGGUGCUGGGGAGGAUGUGGAGAAAUAGGAACACUUUUACACUGUUGGUGGGACUGUAAACUAGUUCAAACACUGUGGCAGAGAGUGUGGUGAUUCCUCAAGGAUCUAGAGCUAGAAAUACCAUUUGACCCAGCCAUCCCAUUACUGGGUAUAUACCCAAAGGAUGACAAAUCAUGCU
This 3448-nucleotide long non-coding RNA is filed under the name Homo sapiens (human). RNAcentral describes it as "HSALNT0230712". The record is from RNAcentral. Lineage: Eukaryota; Metazoa; Chordata; Mammalia; Primates; Hominidae.